Molecule: ribosomal RNA, 373 nt
Filed under: uncultured organism
Description: partial 16S ribosomal RNA
Rfam family: Bacterial small subunit ribosomal RNA
Source: RNAcentral
GAAGGUGGCAAGCGUUAUCCGGAAUCAUUGGGCGUAAAGCGUCUGUAGGCGGCCCUACAAGUUUCCUGUUAAAUUCCAGUGCUCAACAUUGGGACCGCGGGGAAAACUGUAGGGAUUGAGGAAGAUAGAGGUAGAUGGAAUUCCCAGUGUAGCAGUGAAAUGCGUUAAUAUUGGGAGGAACACCAAUAGCGAAGGCAAUCUACUGGAUCUUUCCUGACGCUGAGAGACGAAAGCGUGGGUAGCGAAGGGGGGAUUAGAUACCCCCGUAGUCCACGCCGUAAACGCUGGAUAUUAGGUAUAGGGAGAGUCGACCCUUUCUGUACCGUAGCUAACGUGUUAAAUAUCCCGCCUGGGAAGUACGGUCGCAAGACUA